Syngnathoides biaculeatus (alligator pipefish) is the source of this 3474-nucleotide long non-coding RNA. RefSeq lists it as uncharacterized. NCBI's taxonomy places the organism in Eukaryota, Metazoa, Chordata, Actinopteri, Syngnathiformes, Syngnathidae. The record is from RefSeq and is a predicted model, not a curated record. The transcript is spliced from 3 exons.
UCCACUGCAAGAGCAUCCUUUUUUCCAUUCCUGCCAUACAACUCAACUCUUUUAUUAUGUACCAUUAUAGACAUAGUGGCAAUUAUUUCUUCAAAAUAGUGGAGGACCUCGGAUUUAGAGAGUCUGUGGAAAAACUAGAGCCAAUAUCCAUCCUCCCAACAAGAAGUGCGUGUGGUGACAUAGAUGAAGGAUGAGCGUAUUAGUGACCCAUUUCUGUCCUUUCCUUUGAAAUCACCACAACCGUUUUCACAAACAUCUCAUGUCCCAGUGGAUUUGUUUAAUCAUGCACUGAAAUCAUAUUGGUAAAGACAGUGACAACAGACCUCUGUUACUAUUACCCACACAAUCAAAAACAGCUUGAUGAAUGAAUGAAUGAACAAAAUAUAUAUAUUUGUUCUCAUUGGUCAUCUCGAACAGUUCUAAUUGCAAUGGAGAUUUUGACCAGUAGGAGAGGUUUUUUUUGCACACAAAUCAAGAAAUUAACCUUUUCUUGAAUCAAUUUAAUGGAACGCUUCAAGGCUUCAUAAGGCUUUAUCUGCCCGGACAGAAGAAAAAAAAAUGAUGCCUCGACAGAUGGACACAGCUACAGAAUAAUAAUAAUCAUCAUAAAUAAGGUGUACUAGGUAGGUAUGUUGACAGAAAAAUGGGCAGACGGAGACAGAGAGAAAAUAAGGUCAUAUUUGAUAGCAAGGUUAGAAGACACCCAGAUGGAUCAUUGUGAGGUAGGUAUUGUUGAAAUACUUGAUAAUAAAUGCGUAUGAACCAAUUUGUCAACAUGAUUCCACGUUAAAAGAUGGAAGUUGACUAACUGUUAAUCAUGUGUCUUCUUUUUGACAUCUUACCUUCCAGUGGGCCAAUUUACAAGUGACUUGCCAUCAGCGGACUAUAACUUGCUUUGGAGCAAUAAAAUAUCCGGCAAACAAGGUAACAGUUUUCUUAACUCUGCGUGGAUCCAAGAGCAUGAAAAGAAGAUGGUAGUGGACCUUUCCGACUAGCAAUCUUGAGCUCCGCCCCCCUUAGCGACAUUUGCCAUGUCCCACAAGCUUCCAAAAUGGCGAAUGAGCAGAACACGUUUGAAGUGGAUUCUCUAUCGCGUAUUCCAGACAAUAUUGCGGUAUGUUUUUUUUCCCAAAUGUCAGACUUUUCCAAGAGAAUUUUGCAGAGGGGUCUCAACUAUUUCACACGAGGAUAUGUACACGGAAUUAAGAUUUUGGACAGAGCACGACGCAACGUCAGAGUUACAGGGAAAUGUUGGCGAUCGAUGCAAAAAAGUUUGACGCCUUACAAACUUCAUAUUGGAAUCCAACUUGAUAUAUUAGUGGAAUCGUACUGCACAGCAAAAGUAAAGAAGGGUGAGUAUUUUUUACUUGGAAAGCUCAUGAGUAAUAUCCUUGUAGUCUUUUUAGGUGAGUUAGGUUCGAUUUUCUACAUUUAAACAAUGGCGAUAUCCUCAGUCAGUACCGUAGUCACCAGAUGAAAACGUUUGACUUGGCUCGUAAUCGAACCCAGUGCUCUAUAUUAAAAGUCCGAUGUGAUACAAAUAGGCAAAUAGACAUUUCUCUUGCAUGACAUCGCGGAUUUAUGCAUCACUAACCGGACUCUUUGGCAUAGAACAUUCCACACUUCAUUCGGCAGGUCAGGGAUACAACAAAGUAAAAGUUGUUCUGCUGCAAUGCAUAAAGCACUGAUAAUAAUUCAAUCAAACUCAGACAAGAUACUUCUCCCUCACUUACCUUCGAACAUACAGGCUUGUGUUUGUAGAUAUUGUUCACAUUUAGUUAUACGUGCCCUCUUCCCCGAGCCUUAAUCCAUCUUUAACACUUCGUUAACUGUGUUUUAGGCUUUGGAAAAUGAAUCAACCGGGCCCCAGGAUAUCUUUUAUCAGAAUUGCACAUUCCCCAAGUGCAUCUGAGGACCAUUUUCUUCAUAACAUUAACUUUUCCAAGCGCAUGCUACUGACAACAAGCAUUGCUUGUGGGACAAUAUGGCGAGAGGGGCGUGUCAAGCCAGGGCUUAAGACAACGCGGCUAUCUGAUUGGCUAUUAUUGUACGAGUGAUUUCCACCAAGGCAAAGGCACUGGAAUUACCAUUUUCAUCUUGUUAGCUUAACAUGCUUUCAUAUUUAUAUUAAGAUCUUGUGUGAGGAUGUCAAAUUUUUCUAUACUACCUUAACUGUAAUGUGACGUCAGCGCAGCAGACUGCCUGGAGCAGAGAGAGAGCGAAUGUACAGAAUAGAAGAUUUUUGACAGGAAGUUUAGGCGGACUGCUUCGAUUCAAAAUUCAUCACAUUACAGUCGGCUAUAAAAUACUUGUUUUCGCUCAACCUCAAGUGUGCAGUUGGAAAUAGAAGCGACAGUAUUAACCACCAGCAAUGUGACAACAGGACUGAAGGAAAGACUCUUGACCAUUUCUCACCAUUUGCCAUUGCCCCGGGGGUCAACAUGUGGUCAGCAGUCUUGCACACCCACUUCCAUAAUUCAAAGACCCCAGUGCAGACUUGGGAGUCAUUUGUCACACACAAGGAGAGAGUGACGCCACACCUUGGCUCCCCCCCGUCCGCCAAGACGGGCUCUCGCAGCUCAUCAUCAUCGGCCCCCGACGGGUGCUCAUUCGAGAUGGAUCUAUGUGCCUGCACCACGCCUCUCCACCCCUGGAGUCACCCAAACUCUUGAACCCCCAAGCACAGGCAGCCCAAAACACUGCCCUUCGAACCGCUACAGGCUGCCACAAAAUGGCUUCCAUCGUUCACCUACACCUACACAUCCUGAUCCCGAGAUGACAAGGCAAGAAGCGUGCUCCAGAGCGUUGCGAAAAAAGUCCGAGAUAUCGAGCCAUCGAUCGAGCAGUACAUUCAUCGGCCGUCCGUCGAUGCAGAGGACUACAGGCGCGGCCUCUCUUGGCGAUCCAUCAAACCGCCGUGGCCGACGGGAUCACUGGCUACAAACCCAACAUCGUGUUGGGUGGCUACACGCCUCCAGUAGCCGAAUCCGAAAGACAACUCACACAGCCCAUGAGAUCAACGCUAUUGCGAUUUCGUUCGGGCUGGUGUCACGAGCUCAACAACUAUCAGCAUCGACUCGACCUAUGGAGCGCCCCGGCCGAUGUGGCUCACUUUCUAGAUCUUGAUACGGGAUAACAACCGUCCUACUUGGCUACAACAACAACAACCUACUAAGCCAGCUAACAUAAGUGUUCGCAGAUCCGCCAAUCUAAAUAUCUGUCCUUCACACCUACAGACAAUUCAGACUCCAAUUAAUGCAUGUUUUCGGGAUGUGGGCGUGCCUGGAGAAAACCCACGCAGGCACGGGCAAAACAUGCAAACUCCACACCGCCGGGGCUAGGAUUUGAACCCUGGUCCUCAGAACUGUGAGGCCAACGCUCAACAGCUGCUCCCCCGUGCUACCUGGUCCGAAACAAUAUGUCUCAAUACAUGAAACGUUAAACCUUGAAUAUGGAUGCUUGAAAUCUACGGUA